RNAcentral lists this ribosomal RNA (465 nucleotides) under uncultured bacterium. RNAcentral's name for it is "partial 16S ribosomal RNA". It matches the Rfam family "Bacterial small subunit ribosomal RNA", at positions 28 to 507 of the family's 1533-position model. The record is from RNAcentral.
GACGAACGCUGGCGGCGUGCUUAACACAUGCAAGUCGAACGGAAAGGCCCCUUUGGGGGUACUCGAGUGGCGAACGGGUGAGUAACACGUGAGUAACCUGCCCUUGACUUCGGGAUAACUUCGGGAAACUGGGGCUAAUACCGGAUAGGAAUCCUUGCUGCAUGGUGGGGGUUGGAAAGCUUCGGCGGUUUUGGAUGGACUCGCGGCUUAUCAGCUUGUUGGUGGGGUAGUGGCUUACCAAGGCUUUGACGGGUAGCCGGCCUGAGAGGGCGACCGGCCACAUUGGGACUGAGAUACGGCCCAGACUCCUACGGGAGGCAGCGGUGGGGAAUAUUGCACAAUGGGCGGAAGCCUGAUGCAGCAACGCCGCGUGCGGGAUGACGGCCUUCGGGUUGUAAACCGCUUUCAGCAGGGGCGAAGCUUGUGGUGACGGUACCUGCAGAAGAAGCACCGGCUAACUACGUG